Long non-coding RNA from Choloepus didactylus (southern two-toed sloth), 1623 nucleotides. RefSeq lists it as uncharacterized. The record is from RefSeq and is a predicted model, not a curated record. Lineage: Eukaryota; Metazoa; Chordata; Mammalia; Pilosa; Megalonychidae. The transcript has 2 exons.
CGCAGGCCCCCACCUUCAGCUGGGGAAGGGCCGCGCCCGCCUGCGGCAGCUGAGAGCCCCGGAGCACCCCAGGAAGGACGCUGAGGCCUGGGUCCCGGCGCCCUCCCCAGAGAAGGGAGGAGUCAGGGAGGAAGGGAGAAGCAGGGAGUGCACCCGGGGUCUGCCGCCGACUGCCGGGCCUCUGGCACCAUCCGGGACUCCCGCGGGGCUGCCGCCUGGGAGGGGAGGAGAGUUGGGGACGUGGAAGAGAUGGGGCGCUGGAGGCGCCAGGACGGCGUUGGGUCCACAGAGGCGCGCGCCCUCCGGGCUCGCGGGGGCCGCCAUCGAAGGUGGGCAAACAAGGGGCUUUAGGCCCGGGCCCGGGGUCUGCUGAGCAAGAGUCGACUGGAAUCCACCAUGCCAUCCCCUUGAAGUUAGAUGUGGCCCUGCAACUUGCGUAAACCGUGGAAUGAAAGCAGAGUGAUAUGUUUUUUCCCGGUGGAAACUUAAAGACACAGAGAGCUGAUCACCAUGUUCGUGUUUUCCUACCUUGACAAACAUGGCUAUACGGAGAUGGAGCCUCCCCAAGCCUGGGUCUCUAUGUAAAGAUGUCAGAAGAGCACCAGUCAACCUGCACUGGAAAAGUUGCAUGUGUGAAUAGCUAAUCACAGAGAUUUGGGGGGUUGUUUGUUAUAGCAGUAUAAUCUGGUUUACUCUGAUAGUGUUAUUCCCAAGUGCCUGGGACUUAAUCAGGACUUAUUGAAUGAAUGGCACCUACUUUAUUGUCAGUUUUGUGUUAGGUAUUCUCCAUAUGUUAUCUAAAAUCCCCCCGCUACUUGGGAAGGAGGUGCUCUCAUCCCUAUUUUCAAUUGAGGAAACCAUAUCAGAAAGGUUAAGUAAUUUGCCUGAAAUCACACAGCUUAUAGAUAGCAAAGCCAGGAUUUAAACCCAGCCUGUCCGGUUCCAAAGCCCAUGCUCUUCCCCUUUGCAUAUGCUGUGCUGCCUCUCCUUAAAUGGGAAGGAUGGAAAAUGCCCAGGACAAUGCUUGGCAUACAGUCAUGCCCAAGCCCUGGGAGUUCCUCUCCAGACCAAAUUCCUAUAGCAUUUAUAAUUUGAACCACACUUCAGGACAAUGUUAUCAUGCAUCAUGUGCAAGUGUUUUCACACAUAAUAAAGCAUUUCCUCCAACAAGGUCUCAGGCCACUUGAUUAAGAGCUGGACUGCCUGGGUUUGAAUCCUUGUACCUCUACCUACCACCUAGGACCACCUCGGACAAUUCUUCUCUAUGCCUUGGUUCUCUCUUCUGCAAAAUUGCAGUGGUAAUCCUUUAUCCCAUGAGGUUGGCAGGCAGAUUAAGGGAUGUAAUAUAUGCACUCAAUAAAUCAUGGCUAUUGAUCUUAUACUUAUUUUUCCUCUCCCAUGGCUCCUAACUAGAAUCCUGAGCAGUUACAAGUGGUUUAAGCAUGCUGCUUGAUUAGACUGAUUUUUCGCUUCAUGCUGGUACAGGACAGAUACUGUUAGAUCCGUAGUUGGAAGCAUGAUAUCCACGCUAUCCCCACAACUUGUAUUUACGUACAUUUCAUUACUUGUUCUUUAUUAUACUUUCUGUUAUGAAAGCAAUUUAAAAUAAACAAGGUAUGUUUA